Molecule: long non-coding RNA, 1259 nt
Organism: Betta splendens (Siamese fighting fish)
Lineage: Eukaryota; Metazoa; Chordata; Actinopteri; Anabantiformes; Osphronemidae
Exons: 2
Source: RefSeq, a predicted model, not a curated record
CAAACGGCUGCACUGAUGCCCAUUGUUGCACCUUACGUCCUUGAAAUGCAGGGCGGGGACGCCCAGAAAUAAUAAUCAGCAGGCUAAUUCUGUCUCCAUACAAUGAGCCUGCUGUUGAUUGACUUCGGGGCAUUCGGGCAAAAUUCAGUGAGCUCAUGUUUAACGUGAACCCAAAGGCGCUGUUAACGUCCCGCGACAUGAAACCCUGCGCACACGAAAGAGCAGAGCCUGGUCGUAACGCGGUGAAGCGGUCGCUCGCUGUGAAGCGCUGGCGCGGCGCAGGAAGUGUCUGCAGACGUAGCAGCGGCAGCUUUGAGCGGCGGGGAGGAAAUCCAAUGACGAUAAGGAAAAGCUCGCAACACCCUCCGACAUUCUCCAAUCAUCGACAGAGCAGGACUUCCUGACCAGCUCAUUUUUCCAGGACACCUCUUAUCAAUACAGACGACAACGUGUGGCUCUAGAUCUUACAACCUCGAUACAGCCCCCCCCCCCUUUCCAGCCAGCAUGUCAGGUCAUACUCUAGCAACAGGAUGCGUUUGCUCAAUGAAACACCGACCACCGUGUAUUUUGUACAGCCACGUUUUUAUUUGUAUCAGAUUGCCUGGAAAACAAAAAGACAGACUAGUUCUUGUAGCCACGGCUGGCUCUGCGGCCACGAGCUCUCUCGAACUUCCUGCCCUUGGAGCGCACAUAGGGCCUGGAGGAAAAUAGGAUGAAACCAGUUAGUUUAAAAAAAGUGAUGUGCCAUUGACCUAAUGCAGAGUUGAUGACAAAUGUUUACAGCCAACAGAGAGAUUCAUGGAGUAUGCCCAACCUUUGAAAAAUGCAUUCGGACACUUUACUGAUCAAUGGUUACUUAUAUUGCCAUAGUAUUCUCUAAAGACUGAAUGUAACCAUGUUUGAUCAAAAGGUAAUAAUGUUGGUAUUAAUUCUACUCCAGCAAGAGGGAAGGCAAUAAUAAAGAACUCAAUACAUCUAAAAUGUAAAGGCAGGGCAAAAAAAUUGAAGAAAAACUGAUAACUUGAGAUCAGACUGAGCGUAAUAACAAAAACUUCCUUAUUUGCAACUGUUCUACGUUUACCAACACAUCGACUGUAGACAUACUUGGUGUGGCUGUGAGGGGUUCCAGGAGCUUUUCCAAAGUGCCUGUACACCUCUCUGGCUUUGCGGGGUCCUAAAAAAAACAAAAACAGAUUGUCAAAUAUUCCUUUGCAAGCAUUUCUCAACGUCAUACAAAGUUCAAGUAUUCGUAAACUGCA